UUUUUCGAGUAUUUUCGUGCCCGAAUUUUAUUCUUUUUUAUCCCUUUUUAUUUUUGAAUUUUGUCAAUAUGUGCUAAAUAAAUAAAUAGGAUUUUUUAUAACUUAAUUUUAUUUUUAUUUUUCUUAUUUUUAUUUUUACUUGUUUUUAUUUUAUCAAUUCAUUUUUUAUCCUUCUUUACAUUAAUGAUACACAUAAGGGGCAUUUUUGGAUUUUUGAAAAUAUUGAAACCUUAUGUGUCCCCUAAAUAAACCAACACAAGGCAUUAAUGAAAAC
RNAcentral lists this long non-coding RNA (274 nucleotides) under Lathyrus oleraceus (garden pea). Its description in RNAcentral is "Pisum sativum (pea) long non-coding RNA (PSAT_LNC012380)". Lineage: Eukaryota; Viridiplantae; Streptophyta; Magnoliopsida; Fabales; Fabaceae. The record is from RNAcentral.